AAGGACGUGCUAAUCUGCGAUAAGCGUCGGUAAGGUGAUAUGAACCGUUAUAACCGGCGAUUUCCGAAUGGGGAAACCCAGUGUGAUUCGUCACACUAUCAUUAACUGAAUCCAUAGGUUAAUGAGGCGAACCGGGGGAACUGAAACAUCUAAGUACCCCGAGGAAAAGAAAUCAACCGAGAUUCCCCCAGUAGCGGCGAGCGAACGGGGAGCAGCCCAGAGCCUGAAUCAGUGUGUGUGUUAGUGGAAGCGUCUGGAAAGGCGUGCGAUACAGGGUGACAGCCCCGUACACAAAAAUGCACAUACUGUGAGCUCGAUGAGUAGGGCGGGACACGUGGUAUCCUGUCUGAAUAUGGGGGGACCAUCCUCCAAGGCUAAAUACUCCUGACUGACCGAUAGUGAACCAGUACCGUGAGGGAAAGGCGAAAAGAACCCCGGCGAGGGGAGUGAAAAAGAACCUGAAACCGUGUACGUACAAGCAGUGGGAGCACGCUUAGGCGUGUGACUGCGUACCUUUUGUAUAAUGGGUCAGCGACUUAUAUUCUGUAGCAAGGUUAACCGAAUAGGGGAGCCGAAGGGAAACCGAGUCUUAACUGGGCGUUAAGUUGCAGGGUAUAGACCCGAAACCCGGUGAUCUAGCCAUGGGCAGGUUGAAGGUUGGGUAACACUAACUGGAGGACCGAACCGACUAAUGUUGAAAAAUUAGCGGAUGACUUGUGGCUGGGGGUGAAAGGCCAAUCAAACCGGGAGAUAGCUGGUUCUCCCCGAAAGCUAUUUAGGUAGCGCCUCGUGAAUUCAUCUCCGGGGGUAGAGCACUGUUUCGGCAAGGGGGUCAUCCCGACUUACCAACCCGAUGCAAACU
RNAcentral lists this ribosomal RNA (862 nucleotides) under Shigella flexneri. RNAcentral describes it as "partial 23S ribosomal RNA". It matches the Rfam family "Bacterial large subunit ribosomal RNA", at positions 52 to 955 of the family's 2925-position model. The record is from RNAcentral. Lineage: Bacteria; Pseudomonadati; Pseudomonadota; Gammaproteobacteria; Enterobacterales; Enterobacteriaceae.